UAAAGGCUCUUUUAAGGAAGAAUGCGCUCUUAGUAGUAAGAUUACCCUAUGUAGAAGACGAUUUGAGGCAUUCAACUGAAUGAAGAUGGCAUGAAGACGAUUGUUGCUCCCCUUGCUUAGAAGGGACGCUUAAUCGCUUAAUUGAGGCACCUACCUCCUUGCAUUGUCACUCUGCUCUUUGCUCGCUGUUCGGGAGCUCCACUCAUCACCCCUAUCACUCGACAACCCAAGCUUUUUAUUCAUUACAGUAAUGUGAUUUCAUGUCUCUGAUGAUUCGGCAGGAGGAAAGAGGGAAGGCUUUGUAACACGCUUAAGGUUUCCUUCAUUCUGGGCAAGAAAGUAGGAAACACAAGUAAAAGAAAAAGGGACUUCCUAGUCAUGCUUUUUUACAUUUUAAAAGACACCAACAAAAUG
Molecule: long non-coding RNA, 414 nt
Filed under: Manihot esculenta (cassava)
Lineage: Eukaryota; Viridiplantae; Streptophyta; Magnoliopsida; Malpighiales; Euphorbiaceae
Description: long non-coding RNA (MESC_LNC002561)
Source: RNAcentral